GUGCUUGCUUCAGCAGCACAUCUACUAAAAUUGGAACGAUGUAGAGAAGAUUAGCAGGAAUGACACACAAAUUUGUGAAGUGCUCCAUAUUGAA
Molecule: small nuclear RNA, 94 nt
Filed under: Camelus ferus (Wild Bactrian camel)
Lineage: Eukaryota; Metazoa; Chordata; Mammalia; Artiodactyla; Camelidae
Source: RNAcentral